Molecule: non-coding RNA, 335 nt
Organism: Macaca mulatta (Rhesus monkey)
Lineage: Eukaryota; Metazoa; Chordata; Mammalia; Primates; Cercopithecidae
Source: RefSeq, a predicted model, not a curated record
CUAUGUCUCACUCAGAUUCCCUGGCACUCCUUUUGGGACAUGGGAAAUGCUCUAUUCUCUCUUGCUCUUCUCUGUGGCCUCAGAAGACUUACUGGAGCUAUCGAGGGCUUUUUCUGCUUCCUGCUGCUCAGCCCCUGUUUCACGUCAAGGAAGAGCUCCCCUUCAGAAAAAAACCGAGAGUCAUCAUUUGCCUGCUCAACUAUGAAUAAAGUUCCGUGUACGUUCUCUCUGCUCACUUCUUUCAGAGGCACUUCUGGCUCACGAAACUCUUCAGCUAAGUUGUUGGGGAAUUUGCUGAGUGUCAAAACAUGAAUUAAACCAGAAGAGAUAUGAUA